UACGUAGGGUCCAAGCGUUGUCCGGAUUCAUUGGGCGUAAAGAGCUCGUAGGCGGUUUGGAAAGUCGGAAGUUAAAUCCCCAGGCUCAACCUGGAUUCGCUUCCGAUACUUCUAUGACUUGAGUCUGGUAGGGGAUCACGGAAUUCCUGGUGUAGCGGUGAAAUGCGCAGAAUAUCAGGAGGAACACCGAUGGCGGAAAGGCC
This 203-nucleotide ribosomal RNA is filed under the name uncultured bacterium. RNAcentral's name for it is "partial 16S ribosomal RNA". It matches the Rfam family "Bacterial small subunit ribosomal RNA", at positions 524 to 723 of the family's 1533-position model. The record is from RNAcentral.